Molecule: small RNA, 216 nt
Filed under: Marmota monax (woodchuck)
Lineage: Eukaryota; Metazoa; Chordata; Mammalia; Rodentia; Sciuridae
Source: RNAcentral
UGGUAUUGAUGGAAGCUGGUAAAUGAUAUACAGGAUUUCUACUAUUUCUUAUAACUGCACAUAAAUCUAAUACCUCAAAAUUAAAAGUUUAGUUAUUAAUUUUGUGUGUGUGUGUGUGUGUGUGUAUGUGUGGUGCUGGGGAUUGAACCCAGGGCCUUGUGCAUGCAAGGCAAGCACUCUACAAACUGAGCUAUACCCCCAGCCCUUAGUUACCAA